RNAcentral lists this ribosomal RNA (400 nucleotides) under uncultured bacterium. Its description in RNAcentral is "partial 16S ribosomal RNA". It matches the Rfam family "Bacterial small subunit ribosomal RNA", at positions 359 to 776 of the family's 1533-position model. The record is from RNAcentral.
GAAUAUUGCACAAUGGGGGAAACCCUGAUGCAGCGACGCCGCGUGAGUGAUGAAGUAUUUCGGUAUGUAAAGCUCUAUCAGCAGGGAAGAUAAUGACUGUACCUGACUAAGAAGCCCCGGCUAACUACGUGCCCGCCGCCGCGGUAAUACGUAGGGGGCAAGCGUUAGACGGAUUUACUGGGUGUAAAGGGAGUGUAGGUGGCCAGAGAAGUCAGAUGUGAAAGCCCAGGGCUCAACCCUGGGACUGCAUGUGAAACUAUCCGGCUAGAGUGCAGGAGAGGUAAGUGGAAUUCCUAGUGUAGCGGUGAAAUGCGUAGAUAUUAGGAGGAACACCAGUGGCGAAUGCGGCUCACUGGACUGUAACUGACACUGAGGCUCGAAAGCGUGGGGAGCAAACAGG